GUCUUAUUGAUUUAUAUAGUAAGUCUGUCCUGCCCAGUGAUUUUUAAUUUAACGGCCGCAGUAUAUUGACUGUGCAAAGGUAGCAUAAUCAUUAGUCUUUUAAAAGGGGGCUGGAAUGAAUGGAUUGAUGAGAUAUCAACUGUCUCGUUAUUAUUAAUUGAACUUAAUUUUUAAGUUAAAAAGCUUAAAUUGUUUUGGAAGACGAGAAGACCCUAUAGAGCUUUAUUAAUCUUAUAUUUAUAUAUUUUUUGUAUUUAUGUAUAAUAAUUAUAAGUUUAAUUUUGUUGGGGUGAUGGUAAAUAAAUAUAUAACUUUUAUUAUUAAUUUUACAUUUAUUUAUGGUUUAUUUGAUCCAUUUUUUUUGAUUUUUAGACUAAGUUACCUUAGGGAUAACAGCGUAAUCUUUCCCUUGAGUUCUUAUUUUUGGAAAGGGUUGCGACCUCGAUGUUGGAUUAAGAUUAUAAUUAGGUGUAGCUGCUUGAUAUUUAGGUCUGUUCGACCUUUAAAUUCUUACAUGAUCUGAGUUCAGACCGG
This 534-nucleotide ribosomal RNA is filed under the name Chlorocypha cancellata. RNAcentral describes it as "partial 16S ribosomal RNA". It matches the Rfam family "Bacterial large subunit ribosomal RNA", at positions 1829 to 2619 of the family's 2925-position model. The record is from RNAcentral. Lineage: Eukaryota; Metazoa; Arthropoda; Insecta; Odonata; Chlorocyphidae.